CUUUGUUGACCUGCAUUCCAGCAUCUGCAGCAUCUUGUAUCUCCAAGACAUGCAGGUCUCAAAUUUUGGUGCUCAGUAGGAUAACGGACAAGAACAAAAUUAGGAAUGUGGUGUCACGGUGGCCAUUGGCAGGACUGGACCCAAGUGCGGAGGAACGGCAGACUCUCUCUGUCACGGCAUUCGCAGUAGAACAAAGAAAUACAAUAGAAUCAAAGUAAAACCAUACACAAGGACUGAUAAGCAACCAAUGUGCAAAAGGAGACAAACUGUGCAAAUACAAAAACACAGUUGCUUGAAGACCAACAGAGACCUAUGUUUGGUGAAAUGAAGCAAGAUAAGAGUCAUAAAUCAGUUUUCUUGUACAGACAGUGAACGUUCAGUGCAGUGAGCACGAUACAGUUAAUCUAAGUGCAUUCGAAUGUACAUGGAAAUGGAAAGUGCCCAGUGAGUGAGUGGGCCAGUGAAGGAGUGGAGAUUUGAGGCUUUAACUCGAGAGGCUUCGACAAGAAGAGGCUGAGGACGAGCUUCACUCCAAGUGAGGUGUACAGUGAAAAGCGUCAUUCCAAAGAAGGCACAACAGCGCCCCUGCUUACUUUGAAGUUUGCGUUGGCUUGGGAUGUCACCAAAAUCUUUGACAAGCUUCUAUAGAUGUACAUGGCCUGGUAGGACAAUAGUGAUGCCCAGGAAUGGUAAAGGCUACAGAAAGUGAUGGAUCCAGCCAAAUCUAUUAUGAGCAACGCCAUCCCCACCACUGAGUAUACUUACAUGGAGCACUGCUGCAAGAAUCCAUCAUCAAAGAUUCGCACCAUUCAGGCCAUACCCACUGCUUCCUACAACCAUUGGGCAGGAGCUACAGGAUCCUUGGAUCCCACACUGCUAGGUUCAGGAGCAUCUAUUACCCUCCAGCCAUCAGGUUCCUGAACCAGCAUGGAUAACUUCACUCACCCCAACUCUGAACUGAUUCUACAACCUUCAGUCCCAUUUUCAAAGAUUCUUUACAAAUCAUAUUUUCAGUUUAUUUUUGUAUUUGCACAUCGGUUGUUUAUCAGUCUUUAUGUGGAGUAUUUGCAAAUACUAUUAUUUUUCUCUAUUUUGUAAAUGCCUGCAUAGUAUAUUGGAACAUACAUGUACUUUGUUAAUAAAUUUUGCUUUGAAC
Long non-coding RNA from Hypanus sabinus (Atlantic stingray), 1156 nucleotides. RefSeq lists it as uncharacterized. The transcript has 6 exons. The record is from RefSeq and is a predicted model, not a curated record. Lineage: Eukaryota; Metazoa; Chordata; Chondrichthyes; Myliobatiformes; Dasyatidae.